This 500-nucleotide ribosomal RNA is filed under the name uncultured bacterium. RNAcentral's name for it is "bacterial SSU rRNA". It matches the Rfam family "Bacterial small subunit ribosomal RNA", at positions 28 to 524 of the family's 1533-position model. The record is from RNAcentral.
GAUGAACGCUAGCGGCAGGCUUAAUACAUGCAAGUCGAGGGGCAGCACGGUUAGCAAUAACUGGUGGCGACCGGCGCACGGGUGCGUAACACGUAUACAAUCUACCUUAAACAGGGGGAUAGCCUUUCGAAAGAGAGAUUAAUACCCCGUAAUAAAUUGAACGGCAUCGUUUGAUUUUGAAAGCUCCGGCGGUUUGAGAUGAGUAUGCGUCUGAUUAGCUAGUUGGUGAGGUAACGGCUCACCAAGGCGACGAUCAGUAGGGGAUCUGAGAGGACUAACCCCCACACUGGUACUGAGACACGGACCAGACUCCUACGGGAGGCAGCAGUAAGGAAUAUUGGUCAAUGGAGGCAACUCUGAACCAGCCAUGCCGCGUGCAGGAUGACGGCCCUAUGGGUUGUAAACUACUUUUAUACAAGAGAAAACCCUGGUACGUGUACCAGGUUGAUAGUAUUGUAAGAAUAAGCAUCGGCUAACUUCGUGCCAGCAGCCGCGGUAAU